RNAcentral lists this long non-coding RNA (753 nucleotides) under Callithrix jacchus (white-tufted-ear marmoset). RNAcentral describes it as "lncRNA (ENSCJAG00000079624.1)". The record is from RNAcentral. Lineage: Eukaryota; Metazoa; Chordata; Mammalia; Primates; Cebidae.
GGACAGCUAAAUUUAUUUUCUGAAACAUACUUUAUUGAUUUUAGGAAAUGCUUGUAUGUGUAAUUUACACACGAUCCUUUCCUAAGUUAUAUACAAACUAUCACACUUACUGUGAACAAUCCUGCCACAUUGUCAGGCAUUUAGUUCAUGAAGGGAAAAGAGAUAAAUGCAUAUAUUUUAUUUGGGGCAAAUGAUUUUAUCUUUUUAUGCUUGAAUAAGUUUUUACUUGAAUAUUUUAUUAUUAUUAUUGAGGCUGGGUCUCACUUAUCAUCAGGCUGGAGUGUGGUGGCAUGAUCACAGCUCACUGAAGCCUUGACCUUUCGAGCUCAAGCAAUCCUCUCACCUCAGCCUCCCAAGUAGCUGGGACCACAGGUUGUUUCCAGAACUUGGCUAUCGUGAAUAGUGCUGCAAUGAACAUGGAUGUACAUAUAUAGUUUCCAGAUCUGGAUUUCAAUUCCAUUGAAUUUAUCCCUAAAGAUGAGAUCGUCAAAUCAUACGGUCCAAAAGGGAGUGUGGUUUCAAAGGCAAGGCCUUCCCAGUGCCAUACCUCCACUUACUUCUCCAUCCAGGAGCUUAGAGGUCUUUGUUUAACUUUCACGCAUGCGGGAAGAUGGACUGCCCAGAGAACGUGGAGUUGAAUUUCCUGAGAUUAAAUGUAACUGAUGUAACUCCGCUAUAUGCAGGAAAAUGUUCUAAUAAAUAUUACUCUUUGAUACAAAAUGAGAUGCAAGUAUGCUGAAAAUUAUCAGAUGA